CCUUAGCUCAGCGGUUAGAGCAGGGAACUCAUAAUUCCUUGGUCGCGGGUUCGAAUCCUGCAGG
RNAcentral lists this transfer RNA (64 nucleotides) under marine eukaryotic metagenome. It matches the Rfam family "tRNA", at positions 5 to 66 of the family's 71-position model. Rfam says of the family: Transfer RNA (tRNA) molecules are approximately 80 nucleotides in length. Their secondary structure includes four short double-helical elements and three loops (D, anti-codon, and T loops). Further hydrogen bonds mediate the characteristic L-shaped molecular structure. tRNAs have two regions of fundamental functional importance: the anti-codon, which is responsible for specific mRNA codon recognition, and the 3' end, to which the tRNAs corresponding amino acid is attached (by aminoacyl-tRNA synthetases). tRNAs cope with the degeneracy of the genetic code in two manners: having more than one tRNA (with a specific anti-codon) for a particular amino acid; and 'wobble' base-pairing, i.e. permitting non-standard base-pairing at the 3rd anti-codon position. The record is from RNAcentral.